UACAGGGGGGGCAAGCGUUGUUCGGAAUUACUGGGCGUAAAGAGCUCGUAGGCGGCUUGUCACGUCGAUUGUGAAAGCCCGAGGCUUAACCUCGGGUCUGCAGUCGAUACGGGCUAGCUAGAGUGUGGUAGGGGAGAUCGGAAUUCCUGGUGUAGCGGUGAAAUGCGCAGAUAUCAGGAGGAACACCGGUGGCGAAGGCGGAUCUCUGGGCCAUUACUGACGCUGAGGAGCGAAAGCGUGGGGAGCGAACAGG
RNAcentral lists this ribosomal RNA (253 nucleotides) under uncultured bacterium. Its description in RNAcentral is "partial 16S ribosomal RNA". It matches the Rfam family "Bacterial small subunit ribosomal RNA", at positions 524 to 776 of the family's 1533-position model. The record is from RNAcentral.